GGGAUGAUUAGCAUGCGAGACCGAGGGUGGUUCGUCCGCCCGGCGGAAUGCUCAGUAACACGUAGCAAACCUGCCCUGUGGACUGGGACAACCCGGGAAACUGGGGAUAAUCCUGGAUAGGAGAAGCUAGCUGGAAUGCACUUUUCUUAAAUGUUCAGGCGCCACAGGAUGGUGCUGCGGCCGAUUAGGUAGAUGGUGAGGUGAUAGCUCACCAUGCCGAUAAUCGGUACGGGCCCUGAGAGGGGGAGCCCGGAGACGGACUCUGAGACACGAGUCCGGGCCCUACGGGGCGCAGCAGGCGCGAAACCUUCGCAAUGUGUGAAAGCGCGACGAGGGGAUCCCGAGUGCCCUCGCAUUGCGGGGGCUUUUCUGGAGUUUAGGGUGCUCUAGGUAAUAAGAGCUGGGAAAGACCGGUGCCAGCCGCCGCGGUAACACCGGCAGCUCAAGUGGUGGCCACUUUUAUUGGGUUUAAAGCGCCCGUAGCCGGACUUACAAGCCCUUGGUUAAAUUCUACGGCUUAAUCGUAGACUUGCUGAGGGAACUGUGAGUCUUGGGGCCGGAAGGGGCUGGGGGUACUCCCGGGGUAGUGGUAAAAUGCUAUAAUCCUGGGGGGACCACCAAUAACGAAAGUACCCAGCUGGGACGGACCCGACGGUGAGGGACGAAGGCCAGGGGAGCGAACCGGAUUAGAUACCCGGGUAGUCCUGGCUGUAAACGAUGUGGACUAAGUGUCCCCGAGACCACGAGUCUCGGGGGCGCUGAAGAGAAAUCAUUAAGUCCACCACCUGGGAAGUACGGUCGCAAGGCUGAAACUUAAAGGAAUUGGCGGGGGAGCACCACAAGGGGUGGCGCGUGCGGUUUAAUUGGAUUCAACGCCGGGGAAACUUACUGGCGGAGACGGCAGGAUGAAGGCCACCCUGAAGGGCUUGCUAAACCUGCCGGAAGGAGGUGCAUUGGCGCGUCAGCUCUUACCGGGAGGCGUCUGGUUAAUUCCGGCAACAGGUCGGGACUUUAAGGGAACCCCGGCGAAUACCCCGAGAAAGAAGGGGCAACGGUAGGUCCCCUCCCCUAAUCCCGAGGCUACACCCCCCAAAAAGGUUAGAACAAGGUUGAACCUCCAAAGGGGUUCUAACCCAAGCCUAUU
This 1144-nucleotide ribosomal RNA is filed under the name uncultured archaeon. RNAcentral describes it as "bacterial SSU rRNA". It matches the Rfam family "Archaeal small subunit ribosomal RNA", at positions 35 to 1242 of the family's 1478-position model. The record is from RNAcentral.